RNAcentral lists this transfer RNA (72 nucleotides) under Planctomycetota bacterium. Its description in RNAcentral is "Planctomycetes bacterium (rhizosphere metagenome) tRNA-Met". It matches the Rfam family "tRNA". Rfam says of the family: Transfer RNA (tRNA) molecules are approximately 80 nucleotides in length. Lineage: Bacteria; Pseudomonadati; Planctomycetota. The record is from RNAcentral.
CCCGGGGUGGAGCAGUGGUAGCUCGCCAGGCUCAUAACCUGGAGGUCGCUGGUUCAAAUCCAGCCCCCGGAA